RNAcentral lists this ribosomal RNA (253 nucleotides) under uncultured bacterium. Its description in RNAcentral is "partial 16S ribosomal RNA". It matches the Rfam family "Bacterial small subunit ribosomal RNA", at positions 524 to 776 of the family's 1533-position model. The record is from RNAcentral.
UACGUAGGUGGCAAGCGUUGUCCGGAUUUACUGGGCGUAAAGAGCGCGCAGGCGGUCGAUCAAGUCGCGUGUGAGAGCCCCCGGCUCAACUGGGGAGGGUCACGCGAUACUGAUCGACUCGAAGGCAGGAGAGGGUAGUGGAAUUCCCGGUGUAGUGGUGAAAUGCGUAGAUAUCGGGAGGAACACCAGUGGCGAAGGCGACUACCUGGCCUGUUCUUGACGCUGAGGCGCGAAAGCUAGGGGAGCAAACGGG